RNAcentral lists this ribosomal RNA (492 nucleotides) under uncultured bacterium. Its description in RNAcentral is "partial 16S ribosomal RNA". It matches the Rfam family "Bacterial small subunit ribosomal RNA", at positions 29 to 507 of the family's 1533-position model. The record is from RNAcentral.
AGUGAACGCUGGCGGCAGGCCUAACACAUGCAAGUCGAACGGCAGCACAGUAAGAGCUUGCUCUUACGGGUGGCGAGUGGCGGACGGGUGAGGAAUACAUCGGAAUCUACUUUUUCGUGGGGGAUAACGUAGGGAAACUUACGCUAAUACCGCAUACGACCUACGGGUGAAAGCAGGGGAUCUUCGGACCUUGCGCGAUUGAAUGAGCCGAUGUCGGAUUAGCUAGUUGGCGGGGUAAAGGCCCACCAAGGCGACGAUCCGUAGCUGGUCUGAGAGGAUGAUCAGCCACACUGGAACUGAGACACGGUCCAGACUCCUACGGGAGGCAGCAGUGGGGAAUAUUGGACAAUGGGCGCUAGCCUGAUCCAGCCAUACCGCGUGGGUGAAGAAGGCCUUCGGGUUGUAAAGCCCUUUUGUUGGGAAAGAAAAGCAGCAGGUUAAUACCCCGCUGUUCUGACGGUACCCAAAGAAUAAGCACCGGCUAACUUCGUG